This 913-nucleotide long non-coding RNA is filed under the name Citrus sinensis (sweet orange). RNAcentral's name for it is "long non-coding RNA (CSIN_LNC000610)". Lineage: Eukaryota; Viridiplantae; Streptophyta; Magnoliopsida; Sapindales; Rutaceae. The record is from RNAcentral.
UGCUCUGCUCAUUCCUGAAGAAAUUUUCUGGAUCAACCAUGGUCUUAACUUUCACCAACCUAUCAAAAUUACCAUUAAAAUACUUCUCCCCAUACACUUUCCCCUCAGCAUAGCUAUCUUCACCAUGAUGAUUGAUACCGAUAUCCACAUCCCUAUAAUUCAAAUAAGCACUUCGUGGACUCUUUGACACAAAUGGAGUCAUAAAACUGUAAAGGCUUGUCGCCUGAGAGAGUCUGUCCUCCUCAAUCUCAGUUCCAGGAUCACUCCAACUUAUUGAAUACUGAAUCUUGAACAAGUUUCCUGCUCUGUGUGGAAAUGCAGUCUCUGAUGCUGGAAUUUCAGCCAUUUUUCCUCCAUAAGGAUUGAAGACCAACCCAAUUUUCCCCAAUUCCAUCAUUUGUUUCCACAGCAAAUUCAGGGAAUAUUUUGGAAUCGGUUUCUGAACAUAAUCAGAUUUCCUCUUCAGGAAAUCAGCGGAGUUAAGGUCUCUGUCCAGCAAAACAUUUGGUGAAGUUCCAUUAUCGAAAUUGGCCCACCAAAGAACUGAUUGAAUCCAACUCAUUUCCAUGACAUUUUCUUUCUUCAGCCCCAGUUCUGGAAAAUCCUUGGCCAGGAGAGUCACGAGACUGUCGGCACCACCUAAAUACAACGCCACAAUCGAUGCCCUGACCGUCGGCUUCUUGUUUCUUGUAACAGGCUGCAAAAGCAUUCUCAUAAACAAAUUAUCAUCCGUGGCCGGCGCCACCAACUGCCAUUUAUAGACCACAUCCGUUGCAUUCUCAGCCAAAAGCCUUUCAGCUCUAAACACGGUAACCGUCUCCGGAACGGGAACCAACUUGAUCUUAUAAGCCAGCACAACACCGAAGCUCGCUCCGCCGCCGCCUCUGAUCGCCCAAAAAAGAUCCUCCCCCAU